This 253-nucleotide ribosomal RNA is filed under the name uncultured bacterium. Its description in RNAcentral is "partial 16S ribosomal RNA". It matches the Rfam family "Bacterial small subunit ribosomal RNA", at positions 524 to 776 of the family's 1533-position model. The record is from RNAcentral.
UACGAAGGGGGCUAGCGUUGUUCGGAGUUACUGGGCGUAAAGCGCACGUAGGCGGCUUUGUAAGUUAGAGGUGAAAGCCUGGUGCUCAACACCAGAACUGCCUUUAAGACUGCAUCGCUUGAAUCAUGGAGAGGCGGGUGGAAUUCCGAGUGUAGAGGUGAAAUUCGUAGAUAUUCGGAAGAACACCAGUGGCGAAGGCGGCCCGCUGGACAUGUAUUGACGCUGAGGUGCGAAAGCGUGGGGAGCAAACAGG